GGACGAACGCUGGCGGCGUGCCUAAUACAUGCAAGUCGAGCGAGCGGAACUAACAGAUUUACUUCGGUAAUGACGUUAGGAAAGCGAGCGGCGGAUGGGUGAGUAACACGUGGGGAACCUGCCCCAUAGUCUGGGAUACCACUUGGAAACAGGUGCUAAUACCGGAUAAGAAAGCAGAUCGCAUGAUCAGCUUUUAAAAGGCGGCGUAAGCUGUCGCUAUGGGAUGGCCCCGCGGUGCAUUAGCUAGUUGGCAAGGUAAAGGCUUACCAAGGCGAUGAUGCAUAGCCGAGUUGAGAGACUGAUCGGCCACAUUGGGACUGAGACACGGCCCAAACUCCUACGGGAGGCAGCAGUAGGGAAUCUUCCACAAUGGACGCAAGUCUGAUGGAGCAACGCCGCGUGAGUGAAGAAGGUUUUCGGAUCGUAAAGCUCUGUUGUUGGUGAAGAAGGAUAGAGGUAGUAACUGGCCUUUAUUUGACGGUAAUCAACCAGAAAGUCACGGCUAACUACGU
RNAcentral lists this ribosomal RNA (512 nucleotides) under Lactobacillus crispatus. RNAcentral describes it as "bacterial SSU rRNA". It matches the Rfam family "Bacterial small subunit ribosomal RNA", at positions 27 to 506 of the family's 1533-position model. Lineage: Bacteria; Bacillati; Bacillota; Bacilli; Lactobacillales; Lactobacillaceae. The record is from RNAcentral.